Molecule: ribosomal RNA, 250 nt
Filed under: Halomonas sp. 328
Lineage: Bacteria; Pseudomonadati; Pseudomonadota; Gammaproteobacteria; Oceanospirillales; Halomonadaceae
Description: partial 23S ribosomal RNA
Rfam family: Bacterial large subunit ribosomal RNA
Source: RNAcentral
GGUCAAGCGAUUAAGCGCAUACGGUGGAUGCCUUGGCAGCCAGAGGCGAUGAAGGACGUUGUAGCCUGCGAUAAGGUUCGGUGAGGUGGCAAACAACCUGUGACCCGGACAUUUCCGAAUGGGGAAACCCACUCAUCACAAGAUGAGUAUCCUGCACUGAAUCCAUAGGUGCAGGAGGCGAACCGGGGGAACUGAAACAUCUAAGUACCCCGAGGAAAAGAAAUCAACCGAGAUUCCCCAAGUAGCGGCG